AACGAACGCUGGCGGCAGGCUUAACACAUGCAAGUCGAACGGUUGUAGCAAUACAGCAGUGGCGCACGGGUGAGUAACGCGUGGGAACGUGCCCUUUAGUUCGGAUAACGUCGGGAAACUGACGAUAAUACCGGAUACGCCCUUCGGGGGCAAGAUUUAUCGCUAAAGGAACGGCCCGCGUUAGAUGAGGUAGUUGGCGGGGUAAUGGCCUACCAAGCCUACGAUCUAUAGCUGGUCUGAGAGGAUGAUCAGCCACACUGGAACUGAGACACGGUCCAGACUCCUACGGGAGGCAGCAGUGGAGAAUAUUGGACAAUGGGCGAAAGCCUGAUCCAGCCAUGCCGCGUGAGUGAUGAAGGCCUUAGGGUUGUAAAGCUCUUUUAUCCUGGAAGAUGAUGUCGGUACCGGAAGAAUAAGCUCCGGCUAACUUCGUGCCAGCAGCCGCGGUAA
Molecule: ribosomal RNA, 450 nt
Filed under: uncultured bacterium
Lineage: Bacteria
Description: partial 16S ribosomal RNA
Rfam family: Bacterial small subunit ribosomal RNA
Source: RNAcentral